This 810-nucleotide long non-coding RNA is filed under the name Pan troglodytes (chimpanzee). RNAcentral's name for it is "long non-coding RNA NONPTRT006171". The record is from RNAcentral. Lineage: Eukaryota; Metazoa; Chordata; Mammalia; Primates; Hominidae.
CUCCUCACAUUUAAUCCUCACAACACCCCUGUGAGGUUUAUCCGCUUCACCUGUUGCUGGGGAACACUGCUCUCCGGGGGACUUGGGGGACGACACUGUAAACAUGACUUCCUGGCCUGAUGGUGGCAGGGCUGUGUGUGCGAGUCACUGUCCAGGGACAGCACUGAGGUAGACCACGGUGACAUCGAGGAUGCCGCUGGGAGCUGUCACUGCAGGAAGGUUGGUGGGGAGGGAAGUCAUGUCACACCCAAGCAUCAGGGGAGACCCCCUGCCAGGUCAGGACCCUGAAGUCCAGGUCAAGAAUCUUCUACCUUGCUACGGUCCCCUGUGUUACCCUCCUGUGGUGAGAAGCGUGGGUGACAUGCCUCUUCCAAGUUGGACAGCUGCCCGCCAUGACUCCAACAAAUGUGGAGAUGACAAGUUGGCCAUCUAGCUCAAGCCAAGUGGACGCAGAAGCAAGCAACCGGGAAACUGACAAGACUCACACUAACUGGGCUUCUGGCAAGGACCCCGCAGUCUGCCUGGGGUUUGCACAGGGCAGUGAUCCCAGCAGGGCAGUGAGGAGUGUCACGUAUACCACGUGGGCACACCUCAAACAACAUUCUAGAAAGAACGCCCAGGCUAGAGUGCAGUGGCAUGAUCACGGCUCACUGCAGCUCCCACCUCCUGUGCUCAAGAGAUCCUCCCACCUCAGCCUCCUGAGUAGCUGGGACCACAGGCGCACGCCACGACGCCCAGCUAAUUUUUAAAUUUUUUGUCUUGCUCUGUCACCCAGGCUGGUCUUGAACUUCUAGCCUGGAGUGAUCCUCC